RNAcentral lists this long non-coding RNA (700 nucleotides) under Pongo abelii (Sumatran orangutan). Its description in RNAcentral is "lincRNA". Lineage: Eukaryota; Metazoa; Chordata; Mammalia; Primates; Hominidae. The record is from RNAcentral.
UUAUAGAGAAGGAGUCUCGCCAUGUUGCCCAGACUCAUCCCAAACUACUGGACCCAGGCAAUCCUCACACUUUGGCCUCCCAAAAUGCUGAGAUUACAGCUUACCUAAAGUUAACAUCUGAUGACGUGAUCACAACUCCAUAUCCUGAGUUGAUUUCAACCUAUGAUGUUGGAAUUUUCCACAUGGAGAUAAACACUGGGAAGCAGCUAAUCAUUCUCUCUGGAUUUAUAAGGAACAAAUGGAUAAGUGAAACUUGAAAAAAAUGGCCAGAGUACUAAGAACUAAUGUUUCUUCAAGGAAACAAAUACUUUUACUUUAAGAAUAGAAGAUAAAAGGCCAAAGUUGUAAUAUAAGACAAAUUAUGGAAAUAUACACUUAUACAUAUAAAACCACUCCUCUUUUUAAAAAAUCAUGCUUUUUAAGAAGAAUCAUCUCAUAUCGGUGAGAAAUAAAGUUAUCUUAACAAACAAAAAGUAUCUUGAGAAAAAGCUUUCACAUGUAUAAGAAAGGGAAUGAACAAAUAAAUAGGAAAAAAGAUCUCUGGUUCAACCAUAUCAAAGCUUCUUCAUGUUUGUUAUUUUACUCCAAAGGACAUCUCCCUGAUCUUGAACUGAUAAUACAGUUAAAAGAAUUAACAAAAAGAGAAAGAGAUAGAAAUGGUCAUGUACAGAAUGAAGAAUAAAGGAAAAUUUUUUUCUUA